AGAGUUUGAUCAUGGCUCAGAAUAAACGCUGGCGGCGUGCUUAACACAUGCAAGUCGAGCGCGAACGGCCUUGGGGCUUAGUAAAGCGGCGAACGGGUGAGUAACGCGUAGGAAUCUACCUUUUAGUGAGGAAUACCCUCGAGAAAUCGAGGUUAAUACUGCAUACGUCUUGAAAAAGAGAAAGAUGGCUUAAUUGCUGUCGCUAAAAGAUGAGCCUGCGUACUAUUAGCUAGUUGGUGGGGUAAUGGCCUACCAAGGCGAUGAUGGUUAGCCGGCCUGAGAGGGUGUACGGCCACACUGGAACUUAGACACGGUCCAGACUCCUACGGGAGGCAGCAGUGAGGAAUAUUGCGCAAUGGGCGAAAGCCUGACGCAGCGACGCCGCGUGGAGGAUGAAGGUCUUAGGAUUGUAAACUUCUGUUAAGUGGGAAGAAAGGCAAAGUUUGAUAACGACUUUGAGAUGACGGUACCAUUAGAGAAAGCACCGGCUAACUUCGUGCCAGCCGCCGCGGUAAUUC
RNAcentral lists this ribosomal RNA (518 nucleotides) under uncultured bacterium. RNAcentral's name for it is "bacterial SSU rRNA". It matches the Rfam family "Bacterial small subunit ribosomal RNA", at positions 8 to 526 of the family's 1533-position model. The record is from RNAcentral.